RNAcentral lists this ribosomal RNA (305 nucleotides) under uncultured bacterium. Its description in RNAcentral is "bacterial SSU rRNA". It matches the Rfam family "Bacterial small subunit ribosomal RNA", at positions 335 to 636 of the family's 1533-position model. The record is from RNAcentral.
UCCCUACGGGAGGCAGCAGUGAGGAAUAUUGGUCAAUGGGCUUACGCCUGAACCAGCCAAGUCGCGUGAGGGAAGACUGCCCUAUGGGUUGUAAACCUCUUUUGUCAGGGAGCAAUUGGCGCUACGUGUAGCGUUAUCGAGAGUACCUGAAGAAAAAGCAUCGGCUAACUCCGUGCCAGCAGCCGCGGUAAUACGUAGGGGGCAAGCGUUAUCCGGAUUUACUGGGUGUAAAGGGAGCGUAGGUGGCACGGUAAGCCAGAAGUGAAAACCCAGGGCUCAACUCUGCGGAUUGCUUUUGGAACUAU